GAGUUUGAGAGUCCAUCUUAAUUAUACAUUGUAUUAUACAGGUGAGUGGUGACCCUUUACAUUAGCUACUACACAGUAAUAUUGUACCAUUCCUAUACCUGUCAUUGCUUGAUGCUUCUUCCUUUAGCUUAGGUUCGUCUCUACUUACUGAUUCGACAAACGUUCGAUCAGGAAGUAACCAAAUAAUGCAUUGUUUUAUAAUGUGUAUUUUGUGUAUCAAGCAAUGACAUAUGUCUUCAUAUGUAGCAUUUCAAGAGUUGGAACUGUUUACCCGAAAACAGCAUACCCUCUUGUUUGCUAUAGGUGGGAAUGGAUAGUCAGAAAUUUUUCUUUUCGUUCGAGGAUUAAAAAUAGGCCUCAUUUUUGAAUUAGAAGAUUGAUAGCCUAAAACUGCAAUUUCUUCUUUUUACUCUUCUGUUAUCAUUAUGGACAACAGUUUCACUUGCCUCUGGCAGCUAGAGAGGAUACUGGAUGACUUUACAAUUGAUUCUAAUUGCUCUCUGCUUCAAGUGCUUCUUGUGAGGUCUUUGAUAUCUUCAUGGAAGUCCAACCCAAUCGAAGUACUGAGGUUGUCUAAGUCUAAUGGUCUGGGCAAGUUAUUGCUGGAUUAUUGUAAUGCUAUUAUUAUUAAUGCUAGCAGGGACUGGCCAACCAGGC
Molecule: long non-coding RNA, 657 nt
Organism: Amphimedon queenslandica
Lineage: Eukaryota; Metazoa; Porifera; Demospongiae; Haplosclerida; Niphatidae
Exons: 2
Source: RefSeq, a predicted model, not a curated record